GGACUGCCGGUGCAAACCGGAGGAAGGUGGGGAUGACGUCAAGUCCUCAUGGCCUUUAUGACCAGGGCUACACACGUACUACAAUGGCCGGUACAAAGGGCAGCGACACAGCGAUGUGAAGCCAAUCCCGAAAAGCCGGUCUCAGUCCGGAUUGGAGUCUGCAACUCGACUCCAUGAAGUUGGAAUCGCUAGUAAUCGCGGAUCGGCACGCCGCGGUGAAUACGUUCCCGGGCCUU
Molecule: ribosomal RNA, 236 nt
Filed under: uncultured Desulfocapsa sp.
Lineage: Bacteria; Pseudomonadati; Thermodesulfobacteriota; Desulfobulbia; Desulfobulbales; Desulfocapsaceae
Description: partial 16S ribosomal RNA
Rfam family: Bacterial small subunit ribosomal RNA
Source: RNAcentral